AUGUACCACGCGUCCACUGAGGUUCUGAGCGCGCCGUCCGUGUCCACCUGGCGGCUGCUCGCUCCGUUGUGGUAGCC
Molecule: small RNA, 77 nt
Filed under: Xanthomonas oryzae
Lineage: Bacteria; Pseudomonadati; Pseudomonadota; Gammaproteobacteria; Lysobacterales; Lysobacteraceae
Description: sX9
Rfam family: Xanthomonas sRNA sX9
Source: RNAcentral